Molecule: ribosomal RNA, 211 nt
Filed under: uncultured bacterium
Lineage: Bacteria
Description: partial 16S ribosomal RNA
Rfam family: Bacterial small subunit ribosomal RNA
Source: RNAcentral
CAGUUCGGAUUGAAGGCUGAAAUUCGCCUUCAUGAAGCCGGAAUUGCUAGUAAUGGCAGGUCAGCAUACUGCCGUGAAUACGUUCCCGGGCCCUUGUACACACCGCCCGUCACACCAUGAGAGUUGGGAAUACCCGAAGCCUGUGAGCUAACGAAAGAGGCAGCAGUCGAAGGUAGAAUCAAUGAUUGGGGUGAAGUCGUAACAAGGUACC